GACGAACGCUGGCGGCGUGCUUAACACAUGCAAGUCGAACGGAAGGGCCCUGCUUUUGUGGGGUGCUCGAGUGGCGAACGGGUGAGUAACACGUGAGUAACCUGCCCUUGACUUUGGGAUAACUUCAGGAAACUGGGGCUAAUACCGGAUAGGAGCUCCUGCUGCAUGGUGGGGGUUGGAAAGUUUCGGCGGUUGGGGAUGGACUCGCGGCUUAUCAGCUUGUUGGGGGGGUAGUGGCUUACCAAGGCUUUGACGGGUAGCCGGCCUGAGAGGGUGACCGGCCACCAUGGGACUGCGGUACGGCCCAGACUCCUACGGGCGGCAGCAGUGGGGAAUAUUGCACAAUGGGCGGAAGCCUGAUGCAGCAACGCCGCGUGCGGGAUGACGGCCUUCGGGUUGUAAACCGCUUUCGCCUGUGACGAAGCGUGAGUGACGGUAAUGGGUAAAGAAGCACCGGCUAACUACGUG
RNAcentral lists this ribosomal RNA (468 nucleotides) under uncultured bacterium. RNAcentral describes it as "partial 16S ribosomal RNA". It matches the Rfam family "Bacterial small subunit ribosomal RNA", at positions 28 to 507 of the family's 1533-position model. The record is from RNAcentral.